UCCCACAGAGGCUGGGGCCAUGGCUGCCACAUUCACUCUUUCAUCCCCAGAGUCCACAGCAGAUGAGACAAUCAACUUUCAUUGAAUGGACUACUGAGGGGCUUGGUAAUGGAACUGAAGAAAUCUGAAUGAAUUGUCUGAUGCAUCGUGACUAAGCUUGGAAUGUGCCAACUGUCCCCCAGGAGUGGCCCUUGGACAGCAGAGCUGGAGCGCCGGGACUCUGAGUGCAGG
Molecule: long non-coding RNA, 231 nt
Filed under: Homo sapiens (human)
Lineage: Eukaryota; Metazoa; Chordata; Mammalia; Primates; Hominidae
Description: HSALNT0168173
Source: RNAcentral